GACGAACGCUGGCGGCGUGCUUAACACAUGCAAGUCGAACGAGAAAGCCCUUCGGGGUGAGUACAGUGGCGAACGGGUGAGUAACACGUGGGCAACCUGCCCCAGAGAGCGGGACAACCCGGGGAAACCCGGGCUAAUACCGCAUGAUGCGUCUCCGCAUAAGCGGAGCCGCCAAAAGGUAGCUUCGGCCUCCGCUCUGGGAUGGGCCCGCGCCGGAUUAGCUAGUUGGUUGGGGUAAUGGCCCACCAAGGCGACGAUCCGUAGCUGGUCUGAGAGGACGAUCAGCCACACUGGGACUGAGACACGGCCCAGACUCCUACAGGAGGCAGCAGUGGGGAAUCUUGCGCAAUGGGCGAAAGCCUGACGCAGCAACGCCGCGUGAGGGAAGAAGGCCUUCGGGUUGUAAACCUCUUUCAGUAGGGACGAAGCUUCCGGGGUUAAUAGCCUACGGGGUGACGGUACCUACAGAAGAAGCCCCGGCUAACUACGUG
This 491-nucleotide ribosomal RNA is filed under the name uncultured bacterium. RNAcentral describes it as "bacterial SSU rRNA". It matches the Rfam family "Bacterial small subunit ribosomal RNA", at positions 28 to 507 of the family's 1533-position model. The record is from RNAcentral.